UACGAGGGGGGCGAGCGUUAUUCGGAAUCACUGGGCGUAAAGCGUGCGUAGGCUGUUUCACAAGUUGGAAGUGAAAGCCCAAGGCUUAACCUUGGAAUUGCUUUCAAAACUGUGGGACUUGAAUUCGGGAGAGGAUAGCGGAAUUUCCAGUGUAGCAGUGAAAUGCGUAGAUAUUGGAAGGAACACCAAUGGCGUAAGCAGCUAUCUGGACCGACAUUGACGCUGAGGCACGAAAGCGUGGGGAUCAAACAGGAUUAGAUACCCUUGUAGU
Molecule: ribosomal RNA, 271 nt
Filed under: uncultured bacterium
Lineage: Bacteria
Description: partial 16S ribosomal RNA
Rfam family: Bacterial small subunit ribosomal RNA
Source: RNAcentral